UGGGGAAUUUUGCACAAUGGGGGCAACCCUGAUGCAGCGACGCCGCGUGAUUUAGAAGGCCUUCGGGUUGUAAAAAUCUUUUGUAUGGGAAGAAAAUGACAGUACCAUACGAAUAAGGACCGGCUAAUUACGUGCCAGCAGCCGCGGUAAUACGUAAGGUCCGAGCGUUGUCCGGAAUCAUUGGGCGUAAAGGGUACGUAGGCGGAUAAGCAAGUUAGAAGUGAAAUCCUAUAGCUCAACUAUAGUAAGCUUUUAAAACUGCUCAUCUGGGGGUAUGGAAGGGAAAGUGGAAUUCCUGGGGUAGCGGUGAAAUGCGCAGAUAUUAGGAGGAAUACCGGUGGCGAAGGCGACUUUCUGGCCAUAAACUGACGCUGAGGUACGAAAGCGUGGGUAGCAAACAGG
RNAcentral lists this ribosomal RNA (402 nucleotides) under Actinomycetes bacterium. RNAcentral describes it as "Actinobacteria bacterium partial 16S ribosomal RNA". It matches the Rfam family "Bacterial small subunit ribosomal RNA", at positions 355 to 776 of the family's 1533-position model. The record is from RNAcentral. Lineage: Bacteria; Bacillati; Actinomycetota; Actinomycetes.